This is a small nucleolar RNA of Humulus lupulus (European hop), 107 nucleotides long. The record is from RefSeq and is a predicted model, not a curated record. NCBI's taxonomy places the organism in Eukaryota, Viridiplantae, Streptophyta, Magnoliopsida, Rosales, Cannabaceae.
AUACCAUGAUGUGGGGACUUCCUUAACAACUCUUUAAAUCUCUCCCAUGCCUCAUACAAUGAUUCCCCUUGUCUUUGGUAGAAAUUACUAAUUUCCCCUAUCAACUU